This 75-nucleotide transfer RNA is filed under the name Calothrix sp. FACHB-1219. RNAcentral describes it as "tRNA-Val". It matches the Rfam family "tRNA". From Rfam's summary of the family: Transfer RNA (tRNA) molecules are approximately 80 nucleotides in length. Their secondary structure includes four short double-helical elements and three loops (D, anti-codon, and T loops). RNAcentral also lists the same sequence under 1 other name. Lineage: Bacteria; Bacillati; Cyanobacteriota; Cyanophyceae; Nostocales; Calotrichaceae. The record is from RNAcentral.
AGUCCUGUAGCUCAGUGGGAGAGCGCCUCUUUUACAACGAGGAAGUCGCAGGUUCAAAUCCUGUCAAGGCUACCA